GGAGGGAGCGAGCGUUGUUCGGAAUCACUGGGCGUAAAGGGCGCGUAGGCGGCCGAGUAAGUCGUGUGUGAAAGACCGGGGCUCAACUCCGUGUACUGCAUGCGAUACUGCCCGGCUGGAGAAAGGUAGAGGCGAGUGGAAUUCCCGGUGUAGCGGUGGAAUGCGUAGAUAUCGGGAGGAACACCUGUGGCGAAGGCGGCUCGCUGGGCCUUUUCUGACGCUGAAGUGCGAAAGCGUGGGGAGCAAACAGGAUUAGAUACCCUGGUAGUCCACGCCGUAAACGAUGGGCACUAGGCGUUGGGAGGAUUGACCCUCUCAGUGCCGUAGCUAACGCGUUAAGUGCCCCCGCCUGGGGAGUACGGCCGCAAGGCUG
RNAcentral lists this ribosomal RNA (373 nucleotides) under uncultured organism. RNAcentral describes it as "partial 16S ribosomal RNA". It matches the Rfam family "Bacterial small subunit ribosomal RNA", at positions 527 to 896 of the family's 1533-position model. The record is from RNAcentral.